This 450-nucleotide long non-coding RNA is filed under the name Actinidia chinensis (golden kiwifruit). Its description in RNAcentral is "long non-coding RNA (ACHI_LNC001804)". The record is from RNAcentral. Lineage: Eukaryota; Viridiplantae; Streptophyta; Magnoliopsida; Ericales; Actinidiaceae.
UAUCCCCAAAAAAGUUUAUAACUCUUUCGUACAAGAAUGUUGCGAACCCUUAUGACUGUCUUUCACAAUCCAUCAAGUCCCCAGGCCCCAACCGCACAAUAUGUCCCCUUCCACACUCGUCUCUCUCUCCCUCCUCCUUGUAGCUAUCUGGUCAUUCCUUCAUCUCCGCCGGAAAAAUGGCCGGAAACUUCCACCAGGCCCACUAGCCCUUCCAGUCAUUGGCAACCUCCACAUGUUGGGCCACCUCCCCCACCGCAGCCUCCAAAAUCUAGCCAAAAAAUACGGGCCCAUCAUGUCCAUGAAACUAGGCUCUAAACAGCAAUCAUAGUCUCAUCCCCAGAAGCAGCCGAGCUGUUCCUCAAAACCCACGACAUAUUAUUCGCUAGUCGCCCCAAAAUACAAGCCUCGGACAUCAUAUCGUACGGAUCCAGGGGCCUCGUCUUUUCUGAG